This is a long non-coding RNA of Gopherus evgoodei (Goodes thornscrub tortoise), 99 nucleotides long. RefSeq lists it as uncharacterized. The transcript is spliced from 3 exons. The record is from RefSeq and is a predicted model, not a curated record. NCBI's taxonomy places the organism in Eukaryota, Metazoa, Chordata, Testudines, Testudinidae.
UCCCCACUUGGGUUGCCAACCCUCCCAGUUUCGUCGGGAGUACCCUGGAAUCAGGCCCCAUCUUCCAGAGGCUUCUGAAGCCAAACUAGGAGAUUUUAG